Molecule: long non-coding RNA, 226 nt
Filed under: Malus domestica (apple)
Lineage: Eukaryota; Viridiplantae; Streptophyta; Magnoliopsida; Rosales; Rosaceae
Description: long non-coding RNA (MDOM_LNC017888)
Source: RNAcentral
GGCAUUAGUCCGUAUUUAAUUUUGCAAUCUUUUUUAACGUAAUAAAUGACUAAUGAAGACAUAUGCAUGUGUAGCUACUCGACCGUAUAUACCAUAUAUUAUUAUAUAAUAAUAAUUCUUGGCAUCUGUACUAUUUAGCGCGUACUGUGAAGGCAUAUGCAUGUGUAGCUAUUCGACAAUACCAUAUAUUAUUAUAUAAUUGUCGGCAUCUAUACUAUAUAGCGGG